GUGACCGAGUGACAGGUGCUGCAUGGCUGUCGUCAGCUCGUGUCUGUGAGAUGUUCGGUUAAGUCCGGCAACGAGCGCAACCCACAUCCUUAGUUGCCAGCAGUUCGGCUGGGCACUCUAGGGAAACUGCCCCGUGAUAAGCGGGAGGAAGGUGUGGAUGACGUCAAGUCCUCAUGGCCUUACGGGUUGGGCUACACACGUGCUACAAUGGCAGUGACAAUGGGUUAAUCCCAAAAAACUGUCUCAGUUCGGAUUGGGGUCUGCAACUCGACCCCAUGAAGUCGGAAUCGCUAGUAAUCGCGUAACAGCAUGACGCGGUGAAUACGUUCCCGGGCCUUGUACACACCGCCCGUCACACCAUGGGAGUUGGGUUUACCCGAAGGCCGUGCGCUAACUUUUGAGGCAGCGGACCACGGUGAGCUCAGCGACUGGGGUG
Molecule: ribosomal RNA, 436 nt
Filed under: uncultured bacterium ECS4
Lineage: Bacteria
Description: bacterial SSU rRNA
Rfam family: Bacterial small subunit ribosomal RNA
Source: RNAcentral